This 490-nucleotide ribosomal RNA is filed under the name uncultured bacterium. RNAcentral's name for it is "bacterial SSU rRNA". It matches the Rfam family "Bacterial small subunit ribosomal RNA", at positions 8 to 507 of the family's 1533-position model. The record is from RNAcentral.
AGAGUUUGAUCCUGGCUCAGGAUGAACGCUGGCGGCAUGCCUAACACAUGCAAGUCGAACGGACCUUUAUUUUUGAGAGUUCCUUUAUAGAAAUUCUCAAAAUACUGGUUAGUGGCGGACGGGUGAGUAACACGUUGGUACCUACCCUCUAGUGGGGAAUAACUUCGAGAAAUCGAGGCUAAUACCGCAUGUGGUCUACGGAUCAAAGCAGUAAUGCGCUAGAGGAGGGGCCUGCGUCUGAUUAGCUUGUUGGUGAGGUAAAAGCUCACCAAGGCGACGAUCAGUAGCUGGAUCGAGAGGUUGACCAGCCACACUGGGACUGAGAUACGGCCCAGACUCCUACGGGAGGCAGCAGUGAGGAAUCUUCCACAAUGGACGAAAGUCUGAUGGAGCAAUGCCGCGUGCAGGAUGACGGCCUUCGGGUUGUAAACUGCUUUUAUAUGGGAAGAUUAUGACGGUACCAUAUGAAUAAGGACCGGCUAACUACGUG